GACGAACGCUGGCGGCGUGCUUAACACAUGCAAGUCGAGCGGUAAGGCCCUUUCGGGGUACGACGAGCGGCGAACGGGUGAGUAACACGUGGGUGACCUGCCUUUAGCUCUGGGAUAAGCCUGGGAAACUGGGUCGUAAUACCGGAUAUGACCCUAUGGCGCAUGUUGUGGGGUGGAAAGCCUUGUGCGGCUAGGGAUGGGCCCGCGGCCUAUCAGCUUGUUGGUGGGGUGAUGGCCUACCAAGGCGACGACGGGUAGCCGGCCUGAGAGGGUGACCGGCCACACUGGGACUGAGACACGGCCCAGACUCCUACGGGAGGCAGCAGUGGGGAAUAUUGGACAAUGGGCGGAAGCCUGAUCCAGCAACGCCGCGUGAGGGAUGACGG
RNAcentral lists this ribosomal RNA (386 nucleotides) under uncultured bacterium. Its description in RNAcentral is "bacterial SSU rRNA". It matches the Rfam family "Bacterial small subunit ribosomal RNA", at positions 28 to 414 of the family's 1533-position model. The record is from RNAcentral.